AAUGUUGUGCAUUUGCAGGUCGAGUGCGCCGAGACUUUCGAGAAGGCGAUAUGAGCUCAAUUUUGAGGCCAGCUUGCUGGUACCCGGAUUGGAGGAAUGUUGUUCGUUUUGGAUGUGAUUCGGGAAAGGUUUUCGGGCUCGUAUGGGUUCGAGUCGGUGUGGGGUGGCAGUUGCAUGCAACAUGUGCCUUCUACCGAUUCGGUCCUGUGCGAGCUCACAAUCCCACUCUCGGCGUAAAAGUUGGUCAUCUAUCCGACCCGUCUUGAAACACGGACCAAGGAGUUUAUCGUGUGCGCAAGUCAUUGGGUGUUGAAAACUCAAAGGCGCAAUGAAAGUAAAGCAUCCGCAAGGAUUUGACGUGUGAUCUGAGCAAUCACGGUUGUCUGGAGCAACAUGGCCCCAUUCUGGCCGCUUGCGGCGGGGUGGAGGAAGAGCGUACGCGGUGAGACCCGAAAGAUGGUGAACUAUUCCUGAGCAGGAUGAAGCCAGAGGAAACUCUGGUGGAAGUCCGAAGCGAUUCUGACGUGCAAAUCGAUC
RNAcentral lists this ribosomal RNA (537 nucleotides) under Pratylenchus fallax. RNAcentral describes it as "eukaryotic LSU rRNA". It matches the Rfam family "Eukaryotic large subunit ribosomal RNA", at positions 471 to 903 of the family's 3401-position model. The record is from RNAcentral. Lineage: Eukaryota; Metazoa; Nematoda; Chromadorea; Rhabditida; Pratylenchidae.